UCCCCACAUUUACAGUAGAACCACACGAGAGUGCUUCCUAUGUACUCAUUUGAUUGAAUCCUGUUCUUGAUAAUUUGUGCAUGAACUUCUUGCCCUGUUAGCAAGGCCCUGAUUGAGCCACAAGCCUUGAGAAUGCUCACAACGGUUAAGUUAUUAGAAAUUACCCUCCGUUGUUUCAUCACUUGAAAGAGACUUAUGGCCUCCUCACCAAGCCCCUUC
Molecule: unclassified non-coding RNA, 219 nt
Filed under: Hevea brasiliensis (rubber tree)
Lineage: Eukaryota; Viridiplantae; Streptophyta; Magnoliopsida; Malpighiales; Euphorbiaceae
Source: RNAcentral